GUUUCUUUCAAAAUGAAGAUUCACUCAGUGGUUGUAGCUGUCUUGAUAAGCCAGGUUCUAGUUUACGAAGUUUUAUUCCAGAGGGAAAAAAGCCACUUCACCUAGAAAUCUUCCAAACAAAUCAACUUUUGCUCUGUGAGUAAUCCAGGCUAUCAAGACUACAUUUUAGGUGAGUAGGUUCUCUUUUUUGUUUCUUUUCUGGGUUUUUUUUUUUUUUUUUUUGGUGAUAGAGUCUUGCUCUGUCACCUAGGCUGGAGGGCUGUGGCAUGAUCUUGGCUCACCGUAACCUCUUGCUUCUCAGCUCAAGCCAUCCUCCCACCUCAGCCACUUGAGCAGCUGGGACUACAGGCAUGCACCACUACACCUGGCUAAUUUUUGUAUUUUUUCUAGAGAGAGGGUUUUGCCAUAUUGCCCAGGCUGGUCUUGAACUCCUAAGCUCUAGUGAUCUGCCCACCUAGGCCUCCCAAAGUGCUGGGAUUACAGGCGUGAGCCACCGUGCCCGGCCUUUUUUGCCCCUUUUAUCUUUUUAGUUUAUAAGUAGAUUGCCUAUCUCAGUCCCUCAGAUUGCCAGUUGUUGGUUCUGAGAAAAUGGAUUUAAGUGGAUUUAUUAACUUUCCUCUGCUUUCUGCAUUCUCACUUCUUACUGUGUUUAAUUUGUUUGUAGCUGACGGCAAGGCCUCUGAGGCACGGAAAUUCACAGCUGAGUUCUUGGAGAAGGUCCUUGAGCCAUCUGGAUGGCGUGCAGUCUGGCACAUAAUGUGCUCAAGGUGCUGCUUGAGGUGACAGAUGUGGCCAUUUCAGCCUUGAAGGCAGUGGUGCAGCUUGCUGAGCCAUACCUCUGUGAAUCUUGAGCAAGCACUUUCACCUUGGAGUGUAUGAGAGAGCUCCUCGAGCUGAAGGAACAUCAGUUGCUCCUGCAGGAGCUGGGUGGUGUUUGAUGAUUCUGGAGUGUUUGACUAGACAGCACUUGCAACUGAGCAUGUCAGGUAUGAAGGAGGUAUCUGGUCAGAGAAGGUGUUUUCUGAGGCUGCUUCCCGGAUCCCUAGGGGAUGUGUUCCUGCCAUUCAGCCUUUUUGGCAGUUAUUUCCACUUGUACAAGCAGACUUUUGUCACUUACCUGAGAAAGAAAGCCCACACCUGGAUUAAUAUUAAUAGGUAUGAUUUAAAAUUUUUUUCAGAUAAAUCUUCUAUCAGAUAGUGCCUGAUACAGAUAGUUCUUUUGGAUUUUCUAUAUAUAAGUAUAUUCACUGUAGAGGGCUACUUUUAGCCAUGUAAAAAUGGACUUAUAUUCUUCUAGUAACUGGAAGACUGGCUAAUGCAAUGAUCAUAAUAGUUAAUAAUGUUGCUUGGUGUUUUGUAGUUUUGAAAGUACUUUCCUGUUUCUAUACCAUUAGUCAGCUAACCAGGUUUUGCUAAGCUUAGUUUACAUACUUGAUAAAGAAGCAGAGUGCCUCAGACGCUGCUUCUGACAUCUUAUGGACAAUCUCUAAUUGCAUGCAAGAACAUUUAACCCUGGUGUUCAGUUUUAAGCCAAGCAAUAUAAAUCUAAAGAACUGGUUUCUGUCCAGGACCAAAAUAACUCCCUUAUGUUUCUCUUGCUUUAAAAUAGUCUGUCAGUCGAAGCAUUUGAAGGUGAAGGGAUAACUGAUGAGUUUAGGAAAUUAGGAGAGAGGGUGCCAAUCUCUACGGGUAUAGAAGUUGGUAGAAAGACAAGUACCUGGAACUGGUAAGAGUUCCUGUUAAGGAAGAGGAGCCUGAAUUUUUUUUUUUUUUUUUGAGACGGAGUCUUUGCUGUGUCACCCAGGCUGAAGUUCAGUGGCGCGGUCUCAGCUCACUGCAAGCUUGCCUCCUGGGUUCACGCCAUUCUCCUGCCUCAGCCUCCCGAGUAGCUGGGACUACAGGCGCCCGCUACCAUGCCCGGCUAAUUUUUUGUAUUUUUAGUAGAGACGGGGUUUCACCGUGUUAGCCAGGAUGGUCUGGAUCUCCUGACCUUGUGAUCCGCCUGUCUCGGCCUCCCAAAGUGCUGGGAUUACAGGCGUGAGCCACCAGGCCUGGCCAAGAGGAGCCUGAUUACAUUUACUCUCCAUGUUGAGGACUCAGAUUCUGGUCAGUGACUAGAGAAGGUCAAAUUAUGAGGGUUUUCAUUUGCCCAUUGAUUCGGUAAGUGUGGAGUGCUGGGUUCUCAGUUGAGGGUGGGGUAUGACUGGUGCACAAAACCAACACCUUUGUCGGGGAGCUGCCAGUCUACAGGUGGGAGGUGAAGCUGUAUAGAAUAAUCACAUAAGGAUGCAGAUGCAAUUGGAAGGAGCCGUGAGCACCAUGAAGAAUUUCAGAGUGUCCUAAGACUGGGUCAGGUUGCCGUUCUGUGCUUAUUUCCGGAAGAAAUGACAUUCGAAUUUAGGUCUAAAAGGUGAAAGGAGUGGCAGGUGAAAGGGGUGGCGGAGAUGGGGGAACAGGUUCAGGAACUCAGUGGGUUUAAGGAGCUGCAAGGUCAAUGUGGCCAGAACAUAGUGCUGGGAGAGGCAUAGGAAGUCAGGGUAGAGAGGUUGGCAGGGCUCAGACAGUGCAGGGCUCUGUCAACCAGUGAAUCAUUUUGUAAGAGCAUGAAAAACCAUUGAGGGGUUUUUAUUUUGGGGUGAAUAUGACUUGCUUUGUGUUUUUAAAGGUUCAUUCUGGCUGCUGUGUGGAAAACAAAUGGAGGGAGAUGGAUAGGGAGGUGGGGAUACGGAAGGGUCUAGAGUGAGGAUAUGGAGAAAUCUAGAGUGGGGAUAUGGAGGGGUCCAGAGUGGGG
Long non-coding RNA from Macaca mulatta (Rhesus monkey), 2791 nucleotides. NCBI's taxonomy places the organism in Eukaryota, Metazoa, Chordata, Mammalia, Primates, Cercopithecidae. The record is from Ensembl.